RNAcentral lists this ribosomal RNA (254 nucleotides) under uncultured bacterium. RNAcentral's name for it is "partial 16S ribosomal RNA". It matches the Rfam family "Bacterial small subunit ribosomal RNA", at positions 524 to 776 of the family's 1533-position model. The record is from RNAcentral.
UACGUAGGGGGCAAGCGUUGUCCGGAUUUAUUGGGCGUAAAGAGCUCGUAGGUGGUUCGGUAAGUCGGAUGUGAAAUCUCCAGGCUCAACCUGGAGACGCCACCCGAUACUGCUCUGACUUGAGUUCGGUAGGGGAGUGGGGAAUUCCUGGUGUAGCGGUGAAAUGCGCAGAUAUCAGGAGGAACACCGGUGGCGAAGGCGCCACUCUGGGCCGAAACUGACGCUGAGGAGCGAAAGCGUGGGUAGCAAACAGG